GAUGAAGAACGUAGCGAAAUGCGAUAAGUAGUGUGAAUUGCAGAAUUCAGUGAAUCAUCGAAUCUUUGAACGCACAUUGCGCCCCUUGGUAUCCCGAGGGGCAUGCCUGUUCGAGCGUCAUUUCACCACUCAAGCCUGGCUUGGUGUUGGGCGACGUCCUCUUUGGGGACGCGCCUCGAAACGCUCGGCGGCGUGGCACCGGCUUUAAGCGUAGCAGAAUCUUUCGCUUUGGAAGUCGGGGCCCCGUCUGCCGGAAGACCUGCUCGCAAGGUUGACCUCGGAUCAGGCUGGGAUACCCGCUGAACUUAAGCAUAUCAAUAAGCGGAGGA
This 329-nucleotide unclassified non-coding RNA is filed under the name soil metagenome. Its description in RNAcentral is "partial contains 5.8S ribosomal RNA, internal transcribed spacer 2, and large subunit ribosomal RNA". The stretch from base 1 to 120 matches the Rfam family "5.8S ribosomal RNA", at positions 35 to 154 of the family's 154-position model. The record is from RNAcentral.